GGAAAAGGGCAGUAUUUGGGAACUUGAACCUGUAGAAUCUGCUCAAGCUUCAGCUCUAUAGACUAUUAGCUAGCUACCCCAUCAAAUUCAUCAAAAGCCCAUCUUUGUUUUAAUUUUUCCAAAGCUGAAUUCAUUUUCAUCACCAUCCUUUUCAAGAGUUUUUUAGUUUUUUCAUACUCUUACAUUCCCACCAUUUUUGCACACUGUAGCUACCAAAAACUCACAUUUCAGACCCCUAAAGCUCUCAUUUUUGCACCCUCUCCAAAAUGAAGCUUUUCAGUUGGAUGCAAAAUAAGCUCAAUGGCAAUAGACAAGGGAUGAAUAGAAAACCAAAUGCAGCUUCAUCUACUCAUCAUGUGAAACAAGUUUCUCGAGAGGAAUUCAGUGAUUGGCCUCAUGGGUUGUUGGCAAUUGGAACUUUUGGCAAUAAUGAAAUAAGAACAGAAAAUCUUGAUAUCCAAGAUGUUCAAGAAAAUAACCAACAUGUUGAAGUUGAAGAAGAAGAAGAAUACCCAUCUUCCUCGGAGGAUUUACAAGAUUUCACACCUGAAGAGAUAGGAAAACUACAGAAAGAAUUGACAAAGCUCUUAUCAAAAAAACCAACUUCUGAUAAGGAAAAGGAAGUUGCUAAAACCCUCCCAUUGGAUAGAUUUCUCAAUUGUCCGUCAAGCUUGGAGGUUGACAGAAGAAUCAGUAAUACAGUCACUGGUGAUGUGGAUGAUGAUGAAGAAAACAUUGAGAGAACAAUUAGUGUAAUUCUUGGUCGAUGUAAGGACAUUUGUGAGAAAAAUAAAAAGAAAUCAAUUGGGAAAAAAUCCAUCUCUUUCCUUCUCAAGGAGGUUUUUGUUUGCAGAGGUGGGUUUGCACCACAACCAAGUUUGAGGGAUAGUCUUCAAGAAUCAAGAAUGGAAAAGCUUUUGAGGACAUUGCUUCACAAGAAGAUUAACCAUCAAAAUUCUUCCCAGGCGUCAUCAAAGAAGAAAUAUCUUGAGGAUAAUAAACGGAUAUCAAAUAAGGAAAAUGAAAAAGAAGAAGGAAAGAGGGAAAAGACUUGUGAUGGAGGUAAAUGGGUCAAGACAGAUUCUGAAUGUAAGUUCAAAUUUGGUUCUUUUAUGCAUAGCCAGCUUGCUUGGUAAUAACCAAUUCUUAGCAUUAAUAUUGGGUAUUUUGGUUUCUGUUGCAGAUAUUGUUCUAGAGAUUUAAAUUUGUCUGCAAAUUUUCAGGAAAUUUAUAUCACAAGAUCAUAUCUGGAUUUGAGAAGAUCAAGAACCAUACUUGAAGAAUGCUAAACCAUGCAUCAAUAAUAACAGCUAAAAUGUUACACUUCUCCUGAUGGUGGCUUCCCCUUUUUUUUCAUGGUUGCAUCUGAGUAGAUUCAGUGCAAUACAUGUUAUAUAUAAAUUAUUGUCCAAAGAUUUCUGUCAAAGGCUAGACAUUCUCUACAAUUUUUUGGUUCUAUCUUAUCACCCCCUCUUUUUUUUUUUUAGUUAAGUUUGCACUGUAAUAUAUUUUAACUUGAAUAAUAAGACACAUUUUC
This 1537-nucleotide unclassified non-coding RNA is filed under the name Hevea brasiliensis (rubber tree). The record is from RNAcentral. Lineage: Eukaryota; Viridiplantae; Streptophyta; Magnoliopsida; Malpighiales; Euphorbiaceae.